This 497-nucleotide ribosomal RNA is filed under the name uncultured bacterium. Its description in RNAcentral is "partial 16S ribosomal RNA". It matches the Rfam family "Bacterial small subunit ribosomal RNA", at positions 28 to 507 of the family's 1533-position model. The record is from RNAcentral.
GAUGAACGCUGGCGGCGUGCCUAAUACAUGCAAGUCGAGCGAACAGACGAGGAGCUUGCUCCUCUGACGUUAGCGGCGGACGGGUGAGUAACACGUGGAUAACCUACCUAUAAGACUGGGAUAACUUCGGGAAACCGGAGCUAAUACCGGAUAAUAUAUUGAACCGCAUGGUUCAAUAGUGAAAGACGGUUUUGCUGUCACUUAUAGAUGGAUCCGCGCCGCAUUAGCUAGUUGGUAAGGUAACGGCUUACCAAGGCAACGAUGCGUAGCCGACCUGAGAGGGUGAUCGGCCACACUGGAACUGAGACGCGGUCCAGACUCCUACGAGAGGCAGCAGUAGGGAAUCUUCCGCAAUGGGCGAAAGCCUGACGGAGCAACGCCGCGUGAGUGAUGAAGGUCUUCGGAUCGUAAAACUCUGUUAUUAGGGAAGAACAAAUGUGUAAGUAACUAUGCACGUCUUGACGGUACCUAAUCAGAAAGCCACGGCUAACUACGUG